Molecule: long non-coding RNA, 1468 nt
Organism: Dermacentor andersoni
Lineage: Eukaryota; Metazoa; Arthropoda; Arachnida; Ixodida; Ixodidae
Source: RefSeq, a predicted model, not a curated record
ACGCUCGGCAACGUACUUGCCACGCACGUCGCCUCCGACCACACAAAUUGGGACGUCAUUCUGCCCUUCGUGGCCUACGCGUAGGACACCGGCACUCGGAGCCCUACCGGCUUUCCACCCGUUUUCUUACUUUGCGGUGGGCCCCUGUGGCACACCAUCGACACAAUUCUACCAUACGGGCUGGAUAUAUCUGAAUGCGCGCCCAUUUCUGCCACGGCAAAACAUUGUGAAGAGUGCCACGAUCUCGCUCGGGCCUUUACCUCCAGUGACCAAGAGCGCCAGAAGAACACUCGCGGUGACACCACUUCUGCGCGGACCUUCCUUCCUGGAACGCUUGUGUGGCUCUCGCCUCCUUCCGCUGCACCUGGUCUCUCUUCGAGAGUGCUAGCCAAGUACGAAGGGCGCUACCGUGUCUUCGAACGCGUAUCCCCGUCAACUACGUGAUCGAACCCGUUGAACCGCCUUCGGACAUGCGCCGUCGUGGACGAGACAUUGUCAACGUCCAGCGCCUCAAGCCGUAUACUAUGAUCCACUCUAAUUGAGGAGCUGUUAGGUCGCCGGUCGGCUGCCUUUUCGUUCCCCGGGGUAAUUGUAGCGAAGAACAGGGACGCUGUAGUGGGCCGCCUUCUCCAGCGCUUUUGCGCGGGGAACGCUGCGCAUGGUUAGAAGCGCGCGAGACCGCUUAACGCGUUCGGUGCCUCAUUCCAGCACUCCUUCCGGAAAGCCCGAAGGUAAGAACCCCUUGGAGCUGUCGAGUCUUCUAGCGGUUUGGUGUUCUACGGACGCUGGUAUCGGGUUUCAAGCCGUGAAUGUCGGUUCCAAUUGUCGGUGACAAAUACAAGCCUUAAAUUCUGUUUCUUUAUUUUUCAGCUACCUGUGAUGGAAAACGUCGUAGUUCUUCACAGACACUGUGCUCCCCGACAAAAGCAAAUUGGAGAUCUUCACCGUGCGGCGCUGCCCUUCGGGGGCGCCAUGACCAUAGGCAACACAUUUAAAGCCGUCGCAAAUGGACAUCUUUCCUUCACUGACGCGAAGCUCAAGGAAGCCAAGGAAAGGUUACACAACAAGGGGGUGGAUGUCAGCCGUGCUGACAAUAGGAGUGCGACCUUGCACGUCAUUGACGAAAAGGUGGCAUCUGAUGCUAUGGCCAACGUUUCCUUCUGCAGUUCCAAGCAGUGAAGAUCAGUGACAUGAAACUUCUCCUAUCCAUAACGAAUAUAGAAAGAGUUAAACAAAGUGUUGAGGAUAAACAGCCUGUAGGCCAUGCUGACCAAUCGGUUGAUGUAGAACUGGCCUCCCACAAGAUCCGAGUUGACAUGGAUCACAAGAAAACGCGCCAGGAUGACGGCACAGAAAAGGACGAGACCUUAAUAACAGCCACAUACCGCGGCCUCACGGAAGAGCUUGCUAGAAAGCUGGUGAAAUAUUUUGUUGAGGGCCUGUGAAUAAAAUGUCAUUUUCACUGUAA